Molecule: ribosomal RNA, 109 nt
Filed under: Peromyscus maniculatus bairdii (prairie deer mouse)
Lineage: Eukaryota; Metazoa; Chordata; Mammalia; Rodentia; Cricetidae
Source: RNAcentral
GUCUUUGGCCAUAUCACCCUGGAUGCAUCUGAUCUCAGAAGCUAAGCAGGGUCGGGUCUGGUUAGUGUUUCCAUGGCAGAAUGAAGCAGUGAGUAAGAUUCAAGAGAGA